UAUCAUGCUAAAUAAGUGUUAGUCUAUCCUUCUCCCCUCUAUGCAAAUCCCUAAAUUCUCUCAUUUCUCCUUCUCUCUGUCAUUCUCUUCGCGGUUUGAGACAUAGCGAUUGUAGCAGAGUUCACCGACAAUUUCUUCGCACUCAGCCCAAUCGCCGGAUUCGUCGGAUUUGUCGUUGGUCUUCGUACAACAGGUCACAGUCAUCGCGUUUUCACCGCUCCGGCAUCCAUCGUUGUCAUCGUCAAAGGUCGCAGUUGUGCCCUCAGCUCCGAUCCGUCGUCAUUGUUUGCAGGUCUAAGGAAAUUCUUAAGAAAGUAUCUGGAUUAACCAAAAAAUCUGUUCAAAGGACACAAAAAUCUGCAAAAUCAGAAGAGGAGAUGAUGAAAUCUGAGGCCAUUGUUCAAUCGGUCUCGAGCAGUUCUUAGCAGGUAACAUAAAUUCAGGGAAGUAAGAGAAUUCUUCCUGCAAAGCCUUCCGUAAACAUUGAAGCUAGUCCUUUGGAACUUGACACAAAAGAGUCAGAUGCUAAUCCAAAUUCUUCUUUGGCUACUGCAGAGAUGCUUAUGAAUGAGAGGAAAAACAGAGGCUGCUCUUUGGCUUAAGAAUUGGAGUGGGGGCCCUGGAGUUUUCAAUAAAACAAAUUUAGACAUCCCUUUACAGAUUUAUGCACUGAAAUAAAAUGGCUUUGGGAAUAUACAUGAAAGAUGGAUAGUGCUGAUUAGCCUGAUUUGUAGCUGAUUCAGCGGUCGCGAAAAGAACUUUACGUGGCAAAGUUUCAGAAUUUCAACGAGCAUUGCUACAGAGUAGAUUAUUUGUAGUAAUUGUAGGCUGCACUUGGAGAGACACAUAAAUAUGCUGUUCAAAAGUCCUUGUCUGCAUUUAAUGCUACAGUUGUUGGGGCUGGACCAAUCAGGCAAAAAUACGAGAAACGCCUUCUAAGUUUUGUUUAAAAGGCAUUUGAGAAAUGGGCUGUUGAUUUGAAUCAGUAUGCAUGUGAAAGCUUGAGGUUAAAUCAUUUUUUUUUCUUGAAGAGUUGUUGAAUUAUCAGUCAGCUAAAAAUAUUAUGUCUGGUCAUGUGAAAGUGGCAUUCGAUGUGUGUUAUAUUGUAUUUGAAAUGCCAUAGAUCGGAUCAAAUUGAAUUCAAGUUGUUGGUUUUAGUUUUGUUAAUAAGUGAAGUAGUUUCUGUUAAAAUUCAUGUUGGGAAAGGAUUUGGAUUUAUGCAAUUUGCUAUUAGGUGUUGUGUCUUACCACUUUCAGAAAAGGUGUUGGAUUUGUGAAUUUGCUAUGAAGCAAUCAACAAUCUUCACAAGGGAGUGGAAAGCAAAAUUCAUCCUCUAGUCAUCAUGUUAAUGGACAAUCUUCUACAUGAUAUGCAACUAAUAUAAAGAUUUUUGAAGAAAUAUAAUUAAAUGAUAAUUAUAAAAAUAUAAUAAUGUAAAGAAAUCUAUCACCCUUCCGGUCUCUAGAGCCACAUACACAGAAACACAGAGAUGAGGGAUUUGUAUGCUAUGGAUUUUGAUGGGGUUCUCUGUGACAGCUACAGAGAAAGCUCUCUAUCUGUUGUUAAGGUUGCUAAAGUGAGAUGGCUCAGUCUUUUCAAGACUGUGGAUUCUGCAUUGGAAGAUUGGAUUGUUGAUCAGAUGUACACUGUCAGGCCAGUGGUAGAAACCGGCUAUGAAAAUUUAUUGCUAGUGAGGCUGCUUUUGGAAAUGAGACUUUCUUCCAUUCGCAAGUCUUCAGUCGGUUUUAUCCUGGAGUCGCUGAUGCCCUGAAGUUUGCAAGCUCAAAGGUGUACAUUGUGACCACAAAACAGACCCGCUUUGCAGACGCAUUUUUCGGGAGCUUGUUGGAGGUAACAAGGGUCUGUAUGAUUUUUUCAUCAUAAGUAUCUAUGGUAUUGGUACAUGACUGGAAGCAAAAGUGCGAAAACAGCUUCAAGAAAUGCCAGAACACCAGGGAAGGUGAUAGGGACAAAUUUAGAUCUCAAGUGAACCUUAUGUUAUUUUGACUAUUGGACAAAUUUAAUGUUGUUGUUUGUUUUUCUCUGAAGCUUCUACAGUUCUACUAUAUAAAGAUUCUUUGUUUUUGUUACAAUUAUUUGACAAAUAUUAGUUAUAAUUGAUUUUCUUUUCAAU
Long non-coding RNA from Ipomoea nil (Japanese morning glory), 2135 nucleotides. RefSeq lists it as uncharacterized. The record is from RefSeq and is a predicted model, not a curated record. The transcript is spliced from 13 exons. Lineage: Eukaryota; Viridiplantae; Streptophyta; Magnoliopsida; Solanales; Convolvulaceae.